Calidris pugnax (ruff) is the source of this 1038-nucleotide long non-coding RNA. RefSeq lists it as uncharacterized. The transcript has 2 exons. NCBI's taxonomy places the organism in Eukaryota, Metazoa, Chordata, Aves, Charadriiformes, Scolopacidae. The record is from RefSeq and is a predicted model, not a curated record.
CUGGAAGCUUCUCUACCCUAACACGCCAGCUGAUGAGUGCUGUGAGAACUUGGGAAAACAGACCCUGCCUCCCAAGUUCACCAACCCUGCAAGCCUGAAGAUCAGCAUAAUAAAGUUGAUGGAGUUGCUUAAACAAAUUUCCCAGGGAGGAGGAGAGGAAGGAACACCUCAGCCUGUUCCCCUGUGACUCCCAGCCUUGCUCACUGAUCUCCAAAGCCAUGCUCUCCCUGGCCGUGCCCAGCCCAGCGUCGUUACCCAGUUCCCCGGGCUCUGGAUAUUACCAUCCAUCACAGCCGCUCUGGUUCCAGCGACUUGCUAAAUGUCUGAAUUUCCCUGCUGGCUCAAUGAAGGGUUUUCAGCUUGUGGUACAUUAUAUAGCUACCGGGUGAAUGGGACUGAGCGUUCCCGUUUGGCUCCGAGUGCCGUGUUCACCUGAGCUCGCUGGCAGGAUGAAUAGUUCACCGCGGUUCUAGUGCUAACCCCCUUUGUGAACUAGCAGUGAGCCAUGUACCUUAUUACAAAGGCUGACAGCUCCCUGGAAACUUAAAUCCACUCUUUCUCCUUUCCCUACCAUAGGGAGCUAUAAAAGAAAAGGACUUGGUUGGUAGGCAUGUAAUAUAACAAAAAAACCUCUGUUGUGGCAAGAUCCAGACUCCCCAGUAACAAUGAGGAUUAUGUUCUCGCAUCGAAAAUGCAGUUGCUAGUUUUAACUGCGGUACCUUAUUAUGGAUUCCUACAGUGUACAUUUAUGUCAGGGGCUCGGAUGUUUAACUUCAGUCGGGUCCGGGUAGAAAAGAGAGCUUGGCAUCUUCUGGAUUAUUUUUUUUUUUAAUACGGAGGGAAAAGAUGCAGCUUGACGCUGUUUUGAUGCUACCUUUCCCCAAACUACUUCUCAGAGAGCUUUAAAUAGCCUGACAUUGGCACUGGGCAGGAGCUGGCAGAAGAAUAGAUUUUUUUCAUCUGAUGGCUCGCCAAAGUUGUGUUCAAGAAGGAGAAGUAGAAGAAGAAGAAAAAAAAAAACCACCACCCCCCCCAAAC